This is a long non-coding RNA of Aedes albopictus (Asian tiger mosquito), 4581 nucleotides long. RefSeq lists it as uncharacterized. NCBI's taxonomy places the organism in Eukaryota, Metazoa, Arthropoda, Insecta, Diptera, Culicidae. The transcript is spliced from 2 exons. The record is from RefSeq and is a predicted model, not a curated record.
ACUCGUCUAUAGUGCCAUUUACACUUAUCAAUAAAUUGAUUCAACCAAGAGGUUCAAUCUUUCCUUCAACUUCAUCAAGAAACACAAUUUGAUGGAAAUAUUGCUAAAUGUAUUGCAUGCAUUUUUAUUGAGGAAAACAUGGAUGAUAAUGUUGAAUCUUGAUGUAAAUACUGACCAACCUGCAAAAGCGAGGAUUGAGGUUGGUGAUCAUAUCCUCAAUAUUUCCCCUCCGAAAGAUUGAUCCAACCACCACUAUCAUCCAGUUUGACCAAACCAUCAAGAUCAUCCAAGUUCGUCAAACUUUCCUCUCGACUUGUUUGAUUCGAUCAAUCCAGCAGUGCAAAAGAGUCAGCAGAUUGAGCGAAGACCAUUCCAUCAGUGAGGAAGAGAUAGCAAUUCACCAAUGUUCAGCGCGCGGUUCACGGCGUUCAUGGUGGCCAGUUCAAUUGAAUUUUAUGGAAUGCUUUGAAAGCAAAUUUCUAGAAAUAAAUUGUCACGUUUUUGCUUUGUAAAUAAAAUAAAGACUUGAUCAUUAGAAAAGUGAAAAUUUCGAUAUUUCGCUUGCUUAUUCAAUUCCAUUAAUGAUUAUGAAAAAAUAUUUUUUUGAUAGUUUUGGUCAUUUACCACGCCAUAUUCGAUUUUUUUUUGUAAGCAUUCAUAAACUCUUAUCUAUUGAACCCAAUCUCUCCGAUUAGCAUGAUGAAUUGUUAAAUAGUGGAUCUAUUUACUAAUUCAUCAUGUUAUUUUUCCUAAUGUCUUGAGAAGGUUAAUGUUUCUUACUUUCUAACACAAGAUAUGAACUUCUAUCGUUGAAUCAAAAUAUUUCAUACAAAAUGGAGCUUAAACAAUAAUUAUUAACAGUUAGGUUCGAACAAGUUUUGAUUUUUGCUAAAGUCAUAGUAAAUAUGUAAAGCAAAAUAGGUUUAGAAAACAAAGGCUGAUAAGAGGUUAAUGCCAUAUUGAUUUGUUUGUUUCGUCUAUAAUUUAAAAUGUUUGCUUUAUCCGUUAUUAUUAAUACAGGUUUCUCUAUAGCUAGAUUGGUAACUGAACGAUAAUUAAAUUAUAUGUCCUGAGAGUGGCUUUUGGUAUUUUUGGCAGUUUUUCUCUCUUUGCCAUGCCAUAAGGGGUUUUUGUCGUCCGAAUAGCUUGAAACACUUUGAUUGGCAAAGAUGUGACGCCAAGUUGAGGUUUAUCAGACUUUAGAUGACACCCCAUGACGAAGAGAACAAAUCUGUCGAAAAUAUACUGAGUUUUCCUAUAUAGUUCUAGCAUUUAUACUAAAGGCACUAGCAAACCGCAUAUGCGUUAGUGGAAAUAAAAGAUGUGAUAUAAAACAUGAUAAACCAAUGUUAAAUAUUAAACAUUAUUCCUAAAUAAUCUAAUGAAAAUUUACGAUGCGCAACUUACUUGAACUUGAAAAUAUUUAUUUGGCAGCGCUUUCUUGUUUCCUUUACCAUCAUUUCAUCAAUAAUUAUUUCUUUCUCAAGGAUUAUUGAUGAAAUCACGAGGAUCAAACCAAGUAUCAAUCCAAUAUCUUCGAUAUUGCCCCUUUCCAGAGAGAUGGAUCUAGCCGAGUUUUGAACAGAGAGAAAAUCUCCCGGCAGUAUGAGAGAAGGGAGAGAAGUUAAUGCAUAAAGAGAAAAAAAAAAACAAAGUGUCCGUGCAUGCUUAGCAUACGUGCACAGCUGACAAAGCAAAGCCUUUUAUUGAAUCAAUGCGUCGUCGGUGGGUGCGUGGUUGAUUUUCAGUCCUACCGAUCCCAAUGCCAAUAAUGCGGAAGACAAUGUAUACAAUGCAUUUCCGUCAAAUUUUGUUUUGUUUUUUUUUUUUAAAUAAAUGUGAAUGGAAAACAUUAUUUCUUCUUCUAAGCUUUACCAUUUUUACAUAUUCAAACAUAUUAUACAUAUUUUUUAUUACGAAAUAUUUUUGGACAGCCCAUGGGAUGGGACUUGAAAUACCUUCAGCGCCGUCUUGCUGAAUUACCUUUAUAUUUCGACAUUACACAAAAUUACUACUGAAGGGUGUUAUUUGUCAGAAGGGGGUAUUUCUAAUUUAUAGGCAACGCAAGUAAGCCACCAUGAUGUGCAAACUAUGAAUUAAUUUUGUAUCAGUAUUAACGAGAUUUUUAGCAUUAGGCUAGUUCAUCUCGGGACUCACGCUUUAUUUCCCUUACGAAGGAAGAACUCACACUUUGUAAAUUUGUCGGGAGUGGGAUUCGAUCCCAGGUCAUCGGCGUGAUAGUCACGUGAUUCAACCAUCACACCAGGUCCGCUCCACGAAUUAUUAAUUAACUGGUGUUAGAGACCGGCAGAGCACCAGUAUUUUUUUUUAGCAAAGUUCGGUGGGACACCAACCGACUUAUAAGAUUACACAAAAAAAGUUGUGAACUGUUUAUUACCACUAAUGCAUUGUAAUCGUUGGAUUCAUUACAUUUAAAUAAAAAGUCUUGGGGAAAAUACUUCUGCAUACAUUGUUUCUUUUGUUCGAUGAUUUAUUACAUCUGAAUUCAGUUUUCUUUUUUGUAUGUAUUAUACAUUUCAAUAGCUGUUUAUUUAACUUUAAAAAAAUAUAUAUGUAUGGCAACACUGCAGAAUGUUCUGCAAUGAUGAUGCUCUCGAUCACGCGCUGCUGCAUUGAAAGGAUGAUAGGUUGAUCUGGAGGGAAAAUAUUGAACCAAUCAAUUGAUCCAUGGAAUAAUUUGACCCAUGGUUUGAGCAAUCUUCGAGAGGAUUGAUGUAAAAUUUUUGGAGGUGGGGAAAUAUUGAAGAGAAACUUGAAGUAAAAUGCGCUAUGGAGGGGAAAUAUUGCUGCGUGGUUGAUCAAACAGAAGAUAGGGGAAAAGUUGAAUGAUUGAUAUCAAUCUAUUUUUGAACAAUAUCAUACCUUCAAUGUUUCCAUAAAACGGCCAACUAUUGAUCAAUAUAUGCAUCGUGUGACUGGCGCUUAUGGUUCGAAAGCUAUUUGUGUGACAGAGCCCAACGGACUGCUUUCAAUGACUCGAGCCCCGUGGCGAACAGCCUUGGCGUACCACAGGGGAGUGUAUUAAGGCCCGUUUUAUUCAUUAUGUACAUAAAUGACAUGCGGCGAGUCUUACGAUUUUGCGAUAUUAAUCUUUUUGCUGAUGAUACCGUUCUAUUCAUUGCAGCCAAAGAUUUAGGGGGAGCCGUUUCACAAAUGAAUGCAGAUUUACGUUCUUUGAGUAAAUGGUUGAAGUACAAACAGUUGAAAUUGAACAUAAGUAAAACUAAAUUCAUGGUAAUAUCGCGGAAUCGAGUAAAUUAUGAAGUCACCGUAGAAAUUGAUAGUGAGACAAUUGAUCGCGUGCGCGAAAUUAAAUAUCUUGGCGUGAUUAUUGAUGACAGACUAUAGUUUGACGCUCACAUCGACAAUGUCAUCAAGAAAAUAGCCAAAAGGUAUGGUAUUCUAUGUCGAUUAAAAAACGGUUUGACUAAUGCUAGUAAAAUACAGUUGUACAAAUCAAUCAUUUCUCCACACAUUGAGUUCUGUCCAUCCAUUUUCUUUUUAGCUAAUGAAACACAAAUAUCAAGGCUACAGCGUUUGCAAAAUAAAAUGAUGCGGUUGAUUUUAAGAUGUAACAGAUUCACUUCCUCAACUUUUUUGUUAGACGCCCUUCAGUGGCUGUCAGUGAAGCAAAGAAUUGUCUAUUUAACGUUGGUGUUCAUUUUUAAGUUAAAAAAUGGUAUGUUGCCUAGAUAUUUGUGUGAUCGAAUUGAAAGAGGAAGUGACAUUCUUAGUUAUAACACUAGAAACGCGGAUCAAAUACGAACACUAUACUUUUUGCAUGGUGCUUCACAAAAUUCCUUGUAUUAUAAAGGUAUAAAUGUUUUUAAUUCAAUGCCUGACCACAUCACGAAUGCAGUAACUCUAUCACAGUUUAAGAGACUAUGUAUUUCACACGUAAAAGCUGCUUUUUGAACAGCUACUCUGUUGACUUUUUAUUCUUGACUAGAUUUUGUAUCUUGACGAAGUUUACCAACGGAUAUUUUGUGUGGACAACUUAUAUUUUUGUAAUAGGAGGCACGAACAAACUAUAAUGAUCGCCCCGAUGAUGAUGAUGGAUUUUAUAUUUUUUGACGUAGUAUUUUUAACUGAAUUUAUUUUGUGUAGUCUACAAAAGUUUGAGUCUCGCGCGCGGUGACAGGUAUAAAUGACAUUUUUGUAUUUAUUUAUUAUGUGGAAUAUUUGUACUGUUGAAUGAUAUGUUUGGUAGAUUAGUAGUGAGUUAUCUUGUUGAAUGUCGGGAAUUUCUUGAGAAUGAGAAUAUUGCCGACUGUUUUGACAUCGCGCGAACGUUAUCAAUCCUCGCAAUAUUUUUGAUUUUCUGAUCUUUCAUGAUCACUAGUAACGCUUGCAAACAUCUGUAGAUGAGAGCAGCAGUAUUUCGAAAUUUAUGUUUUUGCUGUACAGUAUGACAAAUUAUAAUGUUGUUUAUAUCUGUGAAAAGAAUCAGACCGUAUUUAGUUUGCAAAUCUGAUUUCAUUGAUCAUAAUUAAUAAUUAUCUUAAAGAUAUAUCGUCUAGCUCAAACCUUUGUAGGGGUAUGUGGCGGGACCAUCAUCAU